This is a long non-coding RNA of Meriones unguiculatus (Mongolian gerbil), 384 nucleotides long. RefSeq lists it as uncharacterized. Lineage: Eukaryota; Metazoa; Chordata; Mammalia; Rodentia; Muridae. The transcript is spliced from 4 exons. The record is from RefSeq and is a predicted model, not a curated record.
GCUCUCUGAAAGCAGUGCGAAGAAAUGUGAAAGUCAGGGCCUGCUCACUAAAGAGCUGCCAAUGCUGUGGUGGAAAACACACAUGAAUGGAGUACCUUCAAUAGGAGACCAACCCUUGCCAUGAGACUUAUGACUAUUAACUAUCUCAGAAUUUUACCAUUGUUCAGUUCUGGAAAUCAAAUGCAUGGCAUCAGCAAGCCUUCUGCCAUGAAGCUAUAUAACCAGCCUUAAGGUCUGCUUAUAUUUUUCACCUUGGAUGCAAGAACACUUUGAUUGUAACCUCACCCCAGUGAACCAAACAAUGGUGUAAAGAGAACUGUUUCUUCUCCUGGGAAAAAGGACCAGUGGUUUCCUGCUGAGCUAAAAGCUAAGGCGAGCCAGUGA